Molecule: ribosomal RNA, 274 nt
Filed under: uncultured bacterium
Lineage: Bacteria
Description: partial 16S ribosomal RNA
Rfam family: Bacterial small subunit ribosomal RNA
Source: RNAcentral
AUACGGAGGGUGCAAGCGUUAAUCGGAAUUACUGGGCGUAAAGCGCGCGUAGGCGGUUUGCUCAGUCGGAUGUGAAAGCCCAGGGCUCAACCUUGGAACUGCAUACGAUACUGGGAAACUAGAGUGUGAGAGAGGAUAGUGGAAUUUCCGGUGUAGCGGUGAAAUGCGUAGAUAUCGGAAGGAACAUCAGUGGCGAAGGCGACUGUCUGGCUCAACACUGACGCUGAGGUGCGAAAGCGUGGGUAGCAAACAGGAUUAGAAACCCUAGUAGUCC